GGCCCCUUCUCCCAUCUUGAACCAGUGUAACUGGAAGGAGGUGAACAGAAAACAUGAAUGAUGUAAUCAGAAAAGACAGAUUCUGAUGCCAUUUGUAAGAUGAAUUGAAUGGGAACAGUUCAAGGUAGGAUUUAUAGGGAUUGGAUAGAAUGAAGAAAGGAAACAUUAUCUCGAUCAGAAUAUAUCAAAUAAAAGAGGAAACCUGGAUGAGUUAUAAACUAAAGAGAGAGGCCGGGCGCGGUGGCUCACGCCUGUAAUCCCAGCACUUUGGGAGGCCGAGGCGGGUGGAUCACGAGGUCAGGAGAUGGAGACCAUCCUGGCUAACAAGGUGAAACCCCGUCUCUACUAAAAAUACAAAAAAUUAGCCGGGCGCGGUGGCGGGCGCCUGUAGUCCCAGCUACUCGGGAGGCUGAGGCAGGAGAAUGGCGUGAACCCGGGAAGCGGAGCU
This 448-nucleotide long non-coding RNA is filed under the name Homo sapiens (human). RNAcentral describes it as "non-protein coding lnc-SLC7A1-6:1". Lineage: Eukaryota; Metazoa; Chordata; Mammalia; Primates; Hominidae. The record is from RNAcentral.